Molecule: ribosomal RNA, 256 nt
Filed under: uncultured bacterium
Lineage: Bacteria
Description: partial 16S ribosomal RNA
Rfam family: Bacterial small subunit ribosomal RNA
Source: RNAcentral
UACGUAGGGGGCAAGCGUUGUCCGGAUUUAUUGGGCGUAAAGAGCUCGUAGGCGGUUCGACAAGUCGGAUGUGAAAUCUCCACGCUCAACGUGGAGGGGCCAUUCGAAACUGUCGUGACUUGAGUCCGGUAGGGGAGUGUGGAAUUCCCGGUGUGAGCGGUGAAAUGCGCAGAGAUCGGGAAGGAACACCCGUAGCGAAGGCGGCACUCUGGGCCGUGACUGACGCUGAGGAGCGAAAGCGUGGGGAGCAAACAGG